RNAcentral lists this ribosomal RNA (502 nucleotides) under uncultured bacterium. RNAcentral's name for it is "partial 16S ribosomal RNA". It matches the Rfam family "Bacterial small subunit ribosomal RNA", at positions 28 to 523 of the family's 1533-position model. The record is from RNAcentral.
GAUGAACGCUAGCGGCAGGCCUAACACAUGCAAGUCGAGGGGCAGCACAGAAACAGCAAUGUUUUGGUGGCGACCGGCGGACGGGUGCGUAACGCGUAUGCAACCUACCUUUAACAGGGGGAUAACGGAGAGAAAUUUCCACUAAUACCCCAUAACAUCGAGCAAGGCAACGUGAUUGGUUGAAAACUCCGGUGGUUAAAGAUGGGCAUGCGUUUUAUUAGGUAGUUGGUGAGGUAAUGGCUCACCAAGCCUACGAUACAUAGGGGGACUGAGAGGUUAGCCCCCCACACUGGUACUGAGACACGGACCAGACUCCUACGGGAGGCAGCAGUGAGGAAUAUUGGUCAAUGGGGGCAACCCUGAACCAGCCAUGCCGCGUGCAGGGAGACGGCUCUAUGAGUUGUAAACUGCUUUUAAACAGGGAUAAAGCACAGUAUGUAUACUGUGUUGAAGGUACUGUAAGAAUAAGGAUCGGCUAACUCCGUGCCAGCCGCCGCGGUAA